Molecule: transfer RNA, 87 nt
Filed under: Clostridiaceae bacterium
Lineage: Bacteria; Bacillati; Bacillota; Clostridia; Eubacteriales; Clostridiaceae
Also listed under: 1 other name
Description: tRNA-Leu
Rfam family: tRNA
About the family: Transfer RNA (tRNA) molecules are approximately 80 nucleotides in length. Their secondary structure includes four short double-helical elements and three loops (D, anti-codon, and T loops). Further hydrogen bonds mediate the characteristic L-shaped molecular structure. tRNAs have two regions of fundamental functional importance: the anti-codon, which is responsible for specific mRNA codon recognition, and the 3' end, to which the tRNAs corresponding amino acid is attached (by aminoacyl-tRNA synthetases). tRNAs cope with the degeneracy of the genetic code in two manners: having more than one tRNA (with a specific anti-codon) for a particular amino acid; and 'wobble' base-pairing, i.e. permitting non-standard base-pairing at the 3rd anti-codon position.
Source: RNAcentral
GCUCGUGUGGCGGAACAGGCAGACGCAACGGACUUAAAAUCCGUCGGACGAAAAUCCAUGCCGGUUCAAGUCCGGCCACGAGCACCA